This 305-nucleotide ribosomal RNA is filed under the name uncultured bacterium. Its description in RNAcentral is "bacterial SSU rRNA". It matches the Rfam family "Bacterial small subunit ribosomal RNA", at positions 337 to 640 of the family's 1533-position model. The record is from RNAcentral.
UCCUACGGGGGGCAGCAGUGAGGAAUAUUGGUCAAUGGGCGGGAGCCUGAACCAGCCAAGUCGCGUGAGGGAAGACGGUCCUAUGGAUUGUAAACCUCUUUUGUCGGGGAGCAAAGAGAUCACGUGUGGUCAAAAGCGAGAGUACCCGAAGAAAAGCAUCGGCUAACUCCGUGCCAGCAGCUGCGGUAAUACGGAGGAUGCGAGCGUUAUCCGGAUUUAUUGGGUUUAAAGGGUGCGUAGGCGGGACGGUAAGUCAGCGGUAAAAAUGCGGAGCUCAACUCCGUCGAGCCGCUGAAACUGCCGUU